CCGCUCGGCCCCUCGACAGUAAAGGAGCACUUUUCUGUGACGCCAAGUUUGAGUAGAAGCCCCAGUCCACUACUAAUAGCCCUCCCACGGUGAGGGGCAGGCUAACUAAGCUCUAAACUUGCCCUGUGCUGAGACUCAGGAAGAAUUGUCUAAGACAGACCAUCAAGUAAGCUGGAAUCUACUCUCUGGAAAUAUCUUCCUUGUACUCCCGAAUUUUCUCCUAUUAAUGUGGCAUAUGGUUCAGUAUAUCUAUGCUAUUUUCUUUUUACAUAUAUACACAAACAUGCACAUGUAUGUAAAUAUAGGUACAUAUAUGUAUAAUGUUUUCAUCUGAAUCAGUUACUUUGUCACAUAUGUGGCCAAUCCAAUAUCCAUUCCCUCUUCUUUAUUGCUAAAAAAGUCCUGACCUUGUUUUAAGAAAAAUAAACAAAAAACUCUGUGUUCUAACUUCUCCUGUAGUUGUAAGCAAAAGUUAUUAGAUUGAGUUUCUCAGAUAAUUCUUAAAAAUGCAAGGUGAGGGCAGGGCCAGACUCAGUAAGCAGGUAUUCUUUUGGCCUUUCGCCACUUUCCAUCUGGAAUGUGGAUGUGGUGCCACAUGUGAAGCAUUGAAGCAUUUAUCUUAAAACCAUGCAUUUACCAUGAAAGGAUGAAUAGGAAGUUUGCUAUAUUAAAUUAAAAUAGAAGAUUUUAAGUUUCUGUUUUGUGAAAGCAAUUUGGCAAAAAAAAAAAAUUCUACCUAUAUAUACAUGAAAUGUGUAGUAGAAUUUUAAUUUUCUUCAUUGUAAUUAAACUCAAAUCGGUGUUUCCUUG
Ictidomys tridecemlineatus (thirteen-lined ground squirrel) is the source of this 810-nucleotide non-coding RNA. Lineage: Eukaryota; Metazoa; Chordata; Mammalia; Rodentia; Sciuridae. The record is from RefSeq and is a predicted model, not a curated record.